UGGGGAAUAUUGCACAAUGGGCGCAAGCCUGAUGCAGCCAUGCCGCGUGUGUGAAGAAGGCCUUCGGGUUGUAAAGCACUUUCAGCGAGGAGGAAGGUGGUGAACUUAAUACGUUCAUCAAUUGACGUUACUCGCAGAAGAAGCACCGGCUAACUCCGUGCCAGCAGCCGCGGUAAUACGGAGGGUGCAAGCGUUAAUCGGAAUUACUGGGCGUAAAGCGCACGCAGGCGGUUUGUUAAGUCAGAUGUGAAAAUCCCCCGGGCUCAACCUGGGAACUGCAUUUGAAACUGGCAAGCUAGAGUCUCGUAGAGGGGGGUAGAAUUCCAGGUGUAGCGGUGAAAUGCGUAGAGAUCUGGAGGAAUACCGGUGGCGAAGGCGGCCCCCCUGGANGAAGACUGACGCUCAGGUGCGAAAAGCGUGGGGAGCAAAACAGGAUUAGAUACCCUGGUAGUCCACGCUGU
RNAcentral lists this ribosomal RNA (461 nucleotides) under uncultured bacterium. RNAcentral describes it as "partial 16S ribosomal RNA". It matches the Rfam family "Bacterial small subunit ribosomal RNA", at positions 355 to 803 of the family's 1533-position model. The record is from RNAcentral.